RNA transcript from Solanum pennellii, 1325 nucleotides. It is a transcript of the gene named receptor-like protein Cf-9 homolog, with no coding region annotated. NCBI's taxonomy places the organism in Eukaryota, Viridiplantae, Streptophyta, Magnoliopsida, Solanales, Solanaceae. The transcript is spliced from 2 exons. The record is from RefSeq and is a predicted model, not a curated record.
GCUGUCCAACACACCUCAGUCAUCAUCUUCACUCAGCCCCAUAGCCUCCAUUAUUGGACUUAGUUUACAAAAAUAUUAUUUUCUUUUUACUUUAUAAGAAAAAAUCAUGACUAGAUUAAUAUUUGUGCAAUACAAUUUCGACUUGGACAAACAAAUACGUGCCUAUAUAUUUGCAUACCUUUGUUGCAUACUUAUCUAGUUUUUGAAGCUAAAGAUGGCUAUGUAGUUGUGCUCUUACUUGUCUUCCUUCAUCAUGAAGUAUUUACUGUUUCUUCAUCCAUAUUACCUCAUCUCUCUCACAAAUGUCAAACCAUUUCCCUUCUAAAAUUCAAGCAGUCAUUUACUAUAGAUUCCUCACUCUUUUCUUUUUGUCAGAAGUAUUAUCCAAAAACAAGUUCAUGGAACAUGAGCAGAGAUUGUUGUUCAUGGGAUGGAGUCAUAUGCGAUGACAUGACUGGCCAUGUUAUUGAGCUUGACCUCGGCUGUAGCGGUCUUGUUGGGACCAUUGAUUCCAAUAGCAGUCUAUUCCAACUCUCAUCUCCAAAGGCUUGAUCUUUCUUCGAAUAACUUUUCCAAUUCUCAUAUCCCCCCUGAAUUCGGUCGAUACUUUGUUCUGAAGGCCUAGCGAGUUCUUUUUUUUUUCAAAGGCGGCCCCAUUGACCGAACCACGUUAAGUCUUUGUGUCUUUUGGUAUGUUUCUCGUUGUCUUCUUACUCAUGGUCUUUCGAUGUUUGCAUUGCUAGCUUCCGCACUUACACCUGCUUAUUUCCGGUCCUAACAAAGGGUGCAUUCCUCAAGGCAAUCAAUUUCAGACCUUUGAGAACAAUUCAUAUGAAGGGAAUGAUGGAUUACGUGGAUUUCCCGUUACAAAAAGUUGUGGUGAUCAUCGUGUAUCAGGGACAUAUUAUGUUGUAUCUGAACAGCUAGAUGAUGAAGAAAACAGUUCUGAAUUUCUGAGUGAUUUUUGGAAAGCUGCUUUUAUGGGCUACGGAAAUGGACUAUGUAUUGAAAUAUCCAUGGUAUAUUUCAUGAUUUCAACUGGAAAAACCGAUAUGGCUUGCAAGAAUCAUUCUAGAGUUGGAGCAAAAAAUUAUUAUGGGAAGGAGAAAGAAGUGUGAAGGUAAAUGUAUUACAAAAGAAGAAAUAAUUGUUGUUUCCAAUGAUUAAUCAGUUUUUGGACCUUUUUGUAGGCUUUUAAUCAAACAGAUGUACUAUCAUUUGUUCUCUACCAAUUAAAAUGUUGUACUUAUAUUGAUAGAAAAAUGGACUAGUUCUGUUUUCAAAGUGAGAACUGAUAUUUGAAACAUUAAUUUUGGACAACCGAA